Molecule: non-coding RNA, 202 nt
Filed under: uncultured Mesocricetibacter sp.
Lineage: Bacteria; Pseudomonadati; Pseudomonadota; Gammaproteobacteria; Pasteurellales; Pasteurellaceae
Description: GcvB RNA
Rfam family: GcvB RNA (bases 24-202)
About the family: The gcvB gene encodes a small untranslated RNA involved in expression of the dipeptide and oligopeptide transport systems in Escherichia coli. Included several unknown homologues in alignment (Bateman A pers obs).
Source: RNAcentral
CUAUACUUAAUGAUUUGGUAAUUCCUUAUAAAUUAAGAUUAUGCUUUUGGUUAAGUAUUAUGUUGUGUUUGCAUAUUGUUCGGGAAACCUAACGGAGUAACUUAGUGAUCGUUUAGUUGCUUAGUUACUUUUUAACUUCCUGUAUAUUUUAAACCUCAUUUGGGUUUCCAUAACACCGUCUCUUUGAAGACGGUGUUUUUUU